Triticum aestivum (bread wheat) is the source of this 124-nucleotide non-coding RNA. Lineage: Eukaryota; Viridiplantae; Streptophyta; Magnoliopsida; Poales; Poaceae. The record is from Rfam.
CUUAUACUCCCUUCGUCUGGAAAUACUUGUCAUACAAAUGAAUAAAAUGGAUGUAUCUAUACCUAAAAUAAGUCUAGAUACAACCAUUUCCACGACAAGUAUUUCCGGACGGAGGGAGUAACAA